This 439-nucleotide ribosomal RNA is filed under the name uncultured bacterium. RNAcentral's name for it is "partial 16S ribosomal RNA". It matches the Rfam family "Bacterial small subunit ribosomal RNA", at positions 339 to 795 of the family's 1533-position model. The record is from RNAcentral.
CUACGGGCGGCAGCAGUGAGGAAUAUUGUACAAUGGGGGGAACCCUGAUGCAGCAACGCCGCGUGGAGGAUGACGCAUUUCGGUGUGUAAACUCCUUUUAUAUGUCAAGAAAAUGACGGUAGCAUAUGAAUAAGCACCGGCUAACUCCGUGCCAGCAGCCGCGGUAAUACGGAGGGUGCAAGCGUUACUCGGAAUCACUGGGCGUAAAGGACGCGUAGGCGGGUUGGAAAGUCAGGUGUGAAAUCCUACAGCUUAACUGUAGAACUGCACUUGAAACUUCUAAUCUAGAGUAUGGGAGGGGGAGAUGGAAUUAGUGGUGCAGGGGUAAAAUCCGUAGAUAUCACUAGGAAUACCUAAAGCGAAGGCGAUCUCCUGGAACAUUACUGACGCUAAGGCGUGAAAGCGUGGGGAGCAAACAGGAUUAGAUACCCUAGUAGUC